Sinocyclocheilus anshuiensis is the source of this 544-nucleotide long non-coding RNA. RefSeq lists it as uncharacterized. Lineage: Eukaryota; Metazoa; Chordata; Actinopteri; Cypriniformes; Cyprinidae. The record is from RefSeq and is a predicted model, not a curated record. The transcript is spliced from 3 exons.
GUAUAUGUAAGGUGGGAGGAGUUGGAUCUGGAUCCACGCCCCCUGGAUCUUGUGUUCUGCGGUGAGGACCAUCUCUGGUUUUUCCGUGAUAGUUCUCUCCCCAAACGUCUUUACUCCUUUAAAAUGUGUGCAGCGUCUUCAUGGAAAUGCCACUACUGUGUGCUUUUAAGGAAGUGAAGUACAGCAGCAGCUGGUUAGUGCUGUCGAGGCAGUGCGCACUACAGAGUGAACACUGAUCGCCGCGGAUACAGUGUGACCGGAGAAGCGCGGGUUCAAACCUUGUCCGGUUGCAGAUGGAAAAAGCAGCAGCACAGACGGAAGGCGAGAGAAUAACGCUGAACACAGUGAAAGAGUCAAGAGCCCCCUGCUGUCACCCAGCCUGCGCCAUCGGCUACAAUGAGUGCCAAAUCGACCCUCAACAAGGCGAUCUUUAUUCCCAACGAUGAGAGGCUGCUGGCAGCCGUGCAGGUGAAGAGGAGGACGAAGAAAAAGAUCCCGUUUUUAGCUACCGGAGGCCCUGGUGACUACACCACAUUCAUUUGCU